This 496-nucleotide ribosomal RNA is filed under the name uncultured bacterium. RNAcentral describes it as "partial 16S ribosomal RNA". It matches the Rfam family "Bacterial small subunit ribosomal RNA", at positions 28 to 506 of the family's 1533-position model. The record is from RNAcentral.
GAUGAACGCUGGCGGCGUGCCUAAUACAUGCAAGUCGAGCGAACAGACGAGGAGCUUGCUCCUCUGAUGUUAGCGGCGGACGGGUGAGUAACACGUGGAUAACCUACCUAUAAGACUGGGAUAACUUCGGGAAACCGGAGCUAAUACCGGAUAACAUGUUGAACCGCAUGGUUCAACAGUGAAAGACGGUUUUGCUGUCACUUAUAGAUGGAUCCGCGCCGCAUUAGCUAGUUGGUAAGGUAACGGCUUACCAAGGCAACGAUGCGUAGCCGACCUGAGAGGGUGAUCGGCCACACUGGACCUGAGACCCGGUCCAGCCUCCUACGGGAGGCAGCAGUAGGGAAUCUUCCGCAAUGGGCGAAAGCCUGACGGAGCAACGCCGCGUGAGUGAAGAAGGUCUUCGGUUCGUAAAACUCUGUUAUUAGGGAAGAACAAAUGUGUAAGUAACUAUGCACGUCUUGACGGUACCUAAUCAGAAAGCCACGGCUAACUACGU